UCUCAGUUCGGAUCGGGGUCUGCAACCCGACUCCGUGAAGCUGGAUUCGCUAGUAAUCGCGCAUCAGCCAUGGCGCGGUGAAUACGUUCCCGGGCCUUGUACACACCGCCCGUCAAGCCAUGGAAGCCGGGGGCGCUUGAAGUGCGUUGCCGCAAGGCGCGCCCUAGAGCGAAACCGGUGACUGGGGCUAAGUCGUAACAAGGUAGC
This 207-nucleotide ribosomal RNA is filed under the name uncultured bacterium. RNAcentral's name for it is "partial 16S ribosomal RNA". It matches the Rfam family "Bacterial small subunit ribosomal RNA", at positions 1286 to 1500 of the family's 1533-position model. The record is from RNAcentral.